AGAAAACAAGAAGGAAGGCUGGUGCAGAGGGUGGGUCCGGGGCACCGCAGCGGGAUUGGCCUCUGGUCGGAGGGAACUUGCGGUAGGGAAGGCAGGGGAGGCGAAGAUGUGAGUGGGUUUGUACAUGCACUGCUGUGAGAUGAGAGGGUUUCUAUGAGUCAGGGUUCUGCAGAGAAACAGAGCCAGUAGGAUACACGUACAUAGGAAGAGAUUCGUAAGGAGACACUUCGUGCAAUUCUGGAGGCUGAGAAGUCCCACGAUCUGCUGUCCGCAAGCCGGACACCCAGGAAUGCUGGCAGUGCAAGUUGCAAGACCUGAGGGCCGGGAUCCAAUGGAGUGGACGCCAGUCAGAGUCUGAAUCCCUGAGAACCAGGAGUACCAACGGCCAGAGGAAACGGAUGUCUGCCUUGGGUCAGGCGGAGAGAAUCCAAACGCCCUCCACCUUUUUGUCCUAUUCCGGCUUCCACAGAUUGGACGAGGCCCACCCACCUUGGGGAGGGGCCAGCUGCUGUGUUCAGUCCGCCAAGGCAAACGCUAAGCUCUUCCAGAAACGCCCUCACAGACACCCCGGAAGUCACGUACCCACUCUCUAGGUGCCCUGGGGCACAGGCAAGCUGACGAGCCAGUUAUCCCUCAGAGCUCCUGCUGCCUCGCCUGCUUUCUCUCGGAAACGUGAAGUGCGGCCUCAGCUGAAAGUGAGGUGGGCUCAUUCAAUCAGUUGAAUUCUUCAAGAGAGAAAAACUGAAGUCCCUUAGAAGGAAAGAGUUCUGCCUUCAGACUGUCUUUGAACUUAAGACUGUAGCGUCGACUCCUGCCGGAAUUUCCAGCCUGCUGGCCAGCUCUGCAGAUUCACACUUGCCAGCCUCCACAAUCGCAGCUGAGGCGGGGGAACCCUAAGGGCUCAUUGAGAUCAUGGAUUUGCCCUUCUAUGCAUUGAUGGAGCACCUGCUGCCCACAGCGUCUGUAUUUGGUGCUGGGAUGCUGAGCCUCCUUCUUUAUGAAUUUUUAAAAGGACACUGAGAUCUUCAAACAGAGGCUGCCACUCUAAGCAAACAGAUCCCGAGCCCUGGACUCUGAAGCUUGGGCCCAGUUCUCCUUUUCUCCGGGUUUCAGAUCCCACUGUGAAGUGAGGGGGCCCUUCUGAUUCAGGACCUGGGGAAGCCAGGGGCAUGAGCAUCGGUGCCUCUUCUCUAUUUCAAGGACCCUUCUGGGUGUAAAGUUCUCUGAGAUGCCUUACAUGGAUUCCAACCACUGCAAGAUAACCAUCGUAUGUAAAGUGUUAUGACCAGCAGAGCGUAAUUGAAGUGCAUUCCAGAGGGAAAGACAGCGGCUCAGGUAGGCCUUAGAGAAUCCGUCUUGGGAUGAAUCCCAUUCUCACACUCCUGUAACAUCCUUAUCGGAAGGCUGGAAGACCAAGCUGGGGCUGUGGGACUAGGAGUAAUUAAAAUACCUUUCAUUGGAAGAUUCUAUAAUGCCUUCUGUGCAAUGGAGCAUGAUUACCAUCCGUUCCUUGGCCCUCCUGUUGGGAGCCAUUGGAAAGGCAAGAAUUCUUCUCUGUUGGGAGAGUGUUCAAAAUGCAGCUUGACUGUGGCUGUGUCCACACACGUAAGGUCCAAGGCGAUUUCCCUGAAGGUGAGGGCAGGAGAACAACCCUAGGAAUUUUUCGGGCAGGAUGAGGGAGAGAUGGAAUGAAAGAGUGGAUGGCGGGGCCAAGGCUGAGGAGCAUAGACUAAUAGUGGUGGGACCAAACAUGUUGGAAGAGUGUAGGACUUGUCUGUCUAUUGCUGCGGCGAGAAAUUUUCAGAAAAUUAGUGACUUUAAAUUAUAUAGAUUUACAUGCAAAAUGGGUGGUCAGGGCUGCAUUCCUUCUGGAGGCUCUGGAAGAGGACCCAUUUCAUUGCCUUUUCCAACUUCUAGAGGUCGCCUGUGUUCCCUGGCUCGUGGUCCCUUCAUCCUCAAAGCCAGCAGCAUGCCAUCCUCCAAUCUCUCUCAGACUGACUUCUGCUUCCAAGGACACAUCUCUUCCUCUGAUCCUCCUCCCUCCCUUGUGUAAGAACCCUGACUAGCCUGGACCUCCCCCACCCCUGGAUACCCUGAGAUCAGCUCCCCAUCUCCAGUUCCUUAAUUGCACGUGCAAAGUUCCUUUUGCCAUGUAAGGUGACAUGUUCGCAGGUUCCAGGAAUUGGGACACAGACUGGGACAUGGACUGAGACGUAGACUGGGAUGUGGACUAGGAUAAGGACUGGGAUGUGGACAUCUUUGCAGGGCUGUUCUUCUGCCCACCACAAUGACCAAGGAGAAGCCAGUAAUUAGGAUGUCACAGAGUCUGUGUUUAAAGGGAGACCCUGGAUAGGGGCAGAAAGGAGCUGAAUCACCAGAGCUUGCUUUCUUUUUAAAAUAUUGUGGUAAGAUACUGUU
Molecule: long non-coding RNA, 2418 nt
Organism: Pan troglodytes (chimpanzee)
Lineage: Eukaryota; Metazoa; Chordata; Mammalia; Primates; Hominidae
Exons: 6
Source: RefSeq, a predicted model, not a curated record